RNAcentral lists this long non-coding RNA (5972 nucleotides) under Sus scrofa (pig). RNAcentral's name for it is "lncRNA (ENSSSCG00040019156.1)". Lineage: Eukaryota; Metazoa; Chordata; Mammalia; Artiodactyla; Suidae. The record is from RNAcentral.
GGGUGGCUCCUGCGGCCUGGAGGGCGUCACAGCAGCUCCGGGGUCUUGGCGCCCAGCUAGAGGCUGGUCAGGUGGGCAGAACCGAGACAACGGUGUGGCACAGAGCUUGCAUCCUGUCCCACAAGGCAGCAUAAACUGUAGCCCCAAUUAUGGGAAAUCCAACCCUAUUUACAAAGACGUUCUCUCAGCUUUGAGAAGGUUCCCCAGCAUCACAGCGGGGCUUUGGCUGGAAGACAGUGGGCCGUGGCUCCAUCAGGCCGGGGGCAGCCCCAGCCCUGCCAGGACAGGCAGGUGCCAGGCCACAAGGCACCUGUGGCAGCGGAAGGCGGGGCACCUUGUCCUCCCAGGGGGCGGGGCACUGGGUGCCAGGAGCAGGCCCGGGCACAGCCUGCCUCGUGGGUGCUGGGAGGGCAGCCAGGGGCCAUUGGGGGCUUUGUGCCUAUCACCGAAGCACAGCGUGGACCUCCGCCCCUUCCUCGCACCCUUGGCAGCCAGGUGGGCACACCUGCCCCAGGCAGUCCCAGGCCCCAUCCCUGACCCUGGCUGGUACCCAGUGUUAGGGUUAGGGUUAGGGAUCCCCCAGACCAUAGCGUCCUUAAACAAAGGAACAAAGCUGAGCCCUGGCCUGGGUCACAGACAUGGGGUCUCAGGCGGCGUGUCUCCGACUCCAGGAGCAGCUCAGCCCCGCCUCUUCCAGGAAGCCCGCAGGGACUGCUCCGUCCCUCUCUCUCUCUCUCUCUUUCCCUCUCCCCCUCAAUAUUGCAUCCUUUCCUCAGCUCUAGAAUGGGAAGGGAGCUCAGCUGGCUUCACUGGGGUCCAAACCAGGGCACGUGUGAGAGUGCAGGUGGCACCAUUACCUGUUACGUGGGGACAUGGGCUGAAAACCAGGACCCUCCCAGGAAAUUCGGGGGCCUGGCUUAUACCAUCAUGCGUCGUUGGCUGUUCGGGUGUUUCUGUCUCUGGUUCCCUUUCUUGUCAAGUCAGCUUCCUCACCUGUAACGUGGCAGUGCUGGUGGCACUGUGAGGGUUCGGCGAGGCGGUCCUUGCUGCUAGGAAGCAUCCUGUCUUGUCUGUAUCCUUUCGGCACCAAGCUCAUGUCAGCCAGGGCUUCCGACGGUCUGAUGGCUGCCUGGAGGAGGCUCGGCCUGCUGCAGGUGCCCGGUGACAUUCCUAGGAUGACGGGUGGAGCGCGAAGGCUGGCUGGCUGGGUGGAUGCCUCCCUGAAUGGAGACUGAAUGAACACCGGGUCUCUUCUCUUCCCAGGUGGCUCUGGAGACCCCAGCCCCUGGCAGCGGGCAGCCGGGGAGGGUAUGAGUGUGCUUUUGUCCCCGUGGUUACCCAUUGCAACGUUACCCAUCCCCACGUUACCCAUCGCCACGGUGGGCACACUCUCUCUGUAUCUGCUCCUUGAGUCUCGGACCCUGGCCGCCCACCAGGCCUCCCUCCCUCCCCUUGGCGCUGGCAGGACAGGCAGGUCAGGUGGGCUUCCAGUCAGGGCUCUUUUCUCCACCUCCCCAGGGGCUGUGUGUGUGUGUGUGUGGUUCUGAGUGUGUGGUUCUGUGCGUCUGUCGGUGUGUGCACCCAGCAAGCCCAGCGGGCGAGGUGGCCCCUGUGGCUUCGGGCUGAAGGAAUUAGUGUGCCGCGUGCAAUGGCUUUGGCAGCUGGCCGGGCUCGCCGCCCCUGGAUGCCAUGAGGGGCGUGGACGUGACACAUGUCCCACCUGCUGGUUUGGGGCAGGGCAGGGGCAGGGAGGAGAAGGCCCCUGAGCCUGGCUUUUUGGACUGCUCACUGCUGCUGCUGUCCUCCGUGGAGUAAGGACAGACAGGUGGACAGGAGCCAAUCUCUCUGCUCCUUCACCUCGGUGACACUGGCUCCGUGCCCUCCCUUAUGGGGGCCGAGAGACCGUUCUAGGCACCCCUCGCCCCCCAGAAGUGGUGUGAAAAGUGGGGCUCUGGACCUCUUGGGCCUGGCUUCAGAUCCCCUGGCCACUCCUCAUUGCUGUGUGCCCGGGAUAAGCCGCCUCACCUCUCUGGGCCGCUUCCCAACAUGAAUCCCGCCAGCCAGGGCUCUGAGGACAGAGUGGGUCAGGACCUGAGGCCCUCAGGACACCGCAGGUCAGCAGUGUGAGCCAUCAGCCCCUUGCCUGGCACUGUCCCCAUUGUCAUUCUGGUCACCUUUUCUGGGAGCAUUUGAACCCCAGUGUCACCCCCCACAGCCCAGCUCUCCCAGGUGGGGAGCAAGGGAGGAAACUCAGGAUGCUGACUCGGCCAGGGGAGAUCCCACGUGACCCCCACCAGCCCCAGGGCGGGAGGCAGCCUGCCAAGGUGAGGCACAGCGCCCUGGCCCAGAACAGAGCAAGUGCUCAGAAAUCACAGGCCGGUACCCUCCCGGCUGGGGGCAGCUUCCUGCCAGCAUCCCGGCCCCUGGCCCUGUCUCCUCACCCAGCAGCAUACAGAAGGGAAGGAGCAUUUAUGCAACACCUACUGCAUGCCAGUUCUCAAGUCAUUAGCCCGUUUUAUCAACAAGGAAACUGAGCCUCAGAGAGGUGGGGCCUGGGACCAGCCCAGCGGUUCCAAAGCAGGAAUUCCCACCAGGAACCAACCCUGGGAGGGCCUCCCUCCUGCCUCCUUGGGCCAAAGCAACUGCCCUCCUGAGCCCUCGGGGACCCCAGGCACUGCUCCAGCCCCUCCCCAGCUCCUCCCCCUAGACCCCCAGGAAGCAGAGCUUGGGGAGAUGCUGUCCACAGUCUCAGGACCAGACCCUGCAGGCAGAUCUGUGCGCCCUCUCUGAGCCUCAGUUUUCCCAUCUGGGAAAUAGGAAGAGCCAAGGAUGUCCGCCCCAUAGCGUGGGAACGCUGAGCCGUUGAAACAUCACUCCGGCCCCAUCCUUGGGGACCGCCUUGGUCCCCAGGGGCUGGUCUGGGGGGGUUCAAGGGCUGGGUGGGCUGGUCUGGCCGCCUCGCCUCUCCCUAAUGGCAGGUUUGGGCACAGACAGAGCCUGUGGCCUGGCAGCGUGGGGUGGUGGCUCUGCUCCCCCGCCCGCCUGCCCUCCUGCCCGCCGUGUGGUCCCUGCGGGGGGACACGUGAACACAGCCUGGCUCUGUUCUCUCAGAGCUGUGGGAGGCGGGCUGUCACCACGGGAGCUGGAGGUGAGCCCGGGAGCGGGGGAGGGGCGGCGGAUGUCUGUGCCUGCCUUCCUCCCCCCACCCGCCACCGCCACCGCCACCGCCACCGCCAGGCCCUGCCAAGCCACAGGUGCCGCCGUGGAGGGCAUGGGUGGGGGUCCUGCUGAGUGGAGGGCUGGGGCUGGGCAAGGGGUUGGGGGUGCACAGUGUAUGCAGGAUAGCGAGGAGGGGGUCUUUUGGGGGGACAGCUGCCCCGCUCUGUUCUGGAGAGAGAGGUGUCCAAGGCAACAUGGCCACCGUCACCAGGGCUGCAGGUCCCCCUGGGGUUCUGAACGGCUGCUGCGUGGCACAGGUUGGGCACUGCACAAUCUCAGGUCUUUGGGUGGAGCUGUACCGUGUGCAGCGGCCUAGGGGCUCCCUCCCGUCUUCUCCGCCUCCCACGUUUUGAUGUUUGUUUCUGGAGUUCGGGCCCCCUUUGAUCCAAAGUCUGGGGUGUUGGUGAGGGCGAUGUGUAGGAGUGACUAUGGGUGAGAGGGCUCCCAUCGUGGGCUGCACACAGUAGGGCGGCUUGGGGGGUUGUAAGAAGCCAUGUCUGUCCUUCGAGGUCAGAGUGAUACGUGUGUAUCCAAGCCCCCCAUGAAUCCCAUUCUCCUUGAGCAUCUAAGGUCAUGACUUUGUGGGUACCAGGCGUCCCCGCCCCGCUACCUUGCCUCCUAAGAGCCCCCUUUGCCGAGAUUUAAUGUCUUAACUCACUGAGCUGCAGGUCAAACAGCACCUGGGGAGAGAGACACCAACUGAAACCUCUCCUAGCUGUGUGACCUUAAGCAUGUUACCUAACCUCUCUGUGCUUUCAUUUCCUCCUCCGAAAAGUAGAGGCAGUAGCCUGCGUCGCCAGGUUAUAGGCAGAUUGCAUGAGAUAAGGAUGAAACGCACUUUGAGCCGGGACAGCGUGUGGAAAAUGCCAGUUGUUGCCUCACUCCGUGUGCCCUGGGUAGAAACUGCCAGCUUUGUUCUUUGCCACCUGGAGGUCCUGGCAGGCAGGAGGCUGGGGUUCAGCGGCCUUGUGCCCCAGGGGUGGCUGGCACCGGGCUUGGCACGAGGUGAGCUCUGGAUUGAUAAACAGCUGCAGGGUUGCAGGGGGGGCCUCCCUCUCUCCCUCUCUGGGAGCUGCAGGGGACGCCUGCUUCCUCCAACCCGCCGCCACCGCCAGGCCCCUUUGUCCACACGGCCGCCUCCCGGUGCAGAGAAACCGCAGGCUGGGCUGCGCCACUCAGCCUUAUCUCAGGCCUUUUGCAGACAGCCCUGGCCCCGGGAAAGGGGUUUAUCAGCCCGGUCAUCUGUGCCCCGGUAGGUUCAGAGGGGCAGAGAGCUUGGAGGGGAGCCUGGCAGGGGGCAGGGCCCACCCACACUGGCCUGGCGAGGUCCCCUCCUCCAGGCGGGCUUUGGGCGCACAGGAAGGGCCGAGCCCCAGACUCCCUCCGUAGACUCCAUGACAUUCACCUUCCACCGGCCCCCUCCCAGCCCUCAGAUUCGGUGCCCUCCAUGCGGCCACCUGUCCCCACGGGGCAGUCAGGGGAGCCUGACCCGCGUCUGAGGGCGGGUAUGUGUGGCAGGGUUGAAGCUGGGAAGCCCAUUUCAGGGCACUGAGCCCUGGGAAGGCUGCCCAGCCUUCCCGAUGCUUCUUUAAGGGGCAGGGAGCUCCCGUUCUCCCCCCUUAUAAGGCCAACUCCUGAGCGUCUGCUGGCGAGGAGCCCUUCUCCGCAUGCUCUCACGGAUGCGCUGACUGGGCCCAGUCGUGAACCCAUCAUAGAGACCAGGAGACUGAGGCCCAGGCCAACUUUGCACCCUGCAGCCUUGUGGACAUCCUGGGUCUGCGGGCGCACGGGAUGGGCACCUUAGGGGUGGAAGGUGGUCCCUGUGGUCCCUGGCCACCCGGCUACCCUAGUGCCAUUCUGCCACCACCUCCCCUGCCAUUGCUCCCUCCCUUCCCUCAGGGAGAAGUCCUGCUCAGCCAGGGAUGGGGGUGGGGGAACAGAAUGGGCCCCUUGCCAGUGGGUGCACACCGCCAGAGAGGGGCCUUGACAAGCUCAGUAGCCGGGUCAGACCCUAGCACUUUCUGGCUGCAAACCCGGACAAGCCUCCUAGCCCUCUGGGCUGGGCGGGGGCGGGUGUGUGUGUGUGUGUGCCGUUUCCACACGCCAGGCAGCCCCCCCAGGUCUUGGCCCGCUUCAGGCUGCUCCCCAGAGGGCCCUCCCUCUCUCACCCGGAUCUGUGGGCAGAGUCACCCUCUUCACUGGCAUCCUGUCCUUCUCUGCUAAAAGGGCCACCUCCUGCUGUGUCCCAUCCUCGUCCUUAGGCUGUCACAGGCUCACAGCGCUGUCUAGCAGUGUAUUUCGCUGAUUUUUCUUAUCGUCUGCCGUGCCCAGUGUCUGAGCAGCUCCCAGAGGACAAGAAUUUCCAACUCCGUCUGCCCAGCCCCUAGGUCAGUGCCCGGCCCACAGUAGGCCCUCGAUAAAUACUUGUCAAAUGAAUGAAUGGACAGAUCAGCAAAGUGAGAAAACCAGAGAGUUCCCGUCAUGACGCAGUGGUUAACAAAUCCGACUAGGAACCAUGGGGUUGCGGGUUCGAUCCCUGGCCUUGCUCAGUGGUCAAGGAUCCGGCGUUGCCGUGAGCUGUGGUGUAGGUCGCAGAUGCAGCUCAGAUCCUGCGUUGCUGUGGCUGUGGCUGUGGUGUAGGCUGGUGGCUACACCUCCAAUUGGACCCCUAGCCUGGGAACCUCCAUAUGCCGAGGGAGUGGCCCUAGAAAAGGCAAAAAGACAAAAAAAAAAAAGAAAGAAAAAGAAAAAAA